This 256-nucleotide ribosomal RNA is filed under the name uncultured bacterium. RNAcentral's name for it is "partial 16S ribosomal RNA". It matches the Rfam family "Bacterial small subunit ribosomal RNA", at positions 524 to 776 of the family's 1533-position model. The record is from RNAcentral.
UACGUAGGGUGCAAGCGUUAAUCGGAAUUACUGGGCGUAAAGCGUGCGCAGGCGGUUUUGUAAGUCUGUCGUGAAAUCCCCCGGGCUCAACCUGGGAAUUGCGAUGGAGACUGCAAGGCUAGAAUCUGGCAGAGGGGGGUAGAAUUCCACGUGUGAGCAGUGAAAUGCGUAGAGAUGUGGAGGAACACCGAUGGCGAAGGCAGCCCCCCUGGGUCAUUACUGACGCUCAGGCGCGAUAGCGUGGGGAUCAAACAGG